UGUAAGGUACCGGACUUCUAAAAUUAUGAAGUUACGGUGUACAUUUGGUUGGAAAGCUAUUUGAAUGGUUCCGGUGAGGUUGCGGUGGAAUGUAAUAUACCGGAUUUUUAAAUAUAAAAAUAGAAAUAAAUAAAAAUAGUAUGAGAUACUAUUUUUAUUGAAUUUAGAGAGGUGAAAUAUAAGUUGGGAAUGAGCUGAGCUGAAAUCGGAGCGAAAACAGAAGAUUUAGAAUUUUCUGUGAAAGACGGGGCAGAUAAAUUAGCAGAAAAUGUACAGUGUCAGUGUAAUAUACCGAAAAUUUGGAAAAUAAAUAUCAAACUUUAGUCAAAUUGA
This 333-nucleotide long non-coding RNA is filed under the name Ananas comosus (pineapple). RNAcentral's name for it is "long non-coding RNA (ACOM_LNC040209)". The record is from RNAcentral. Lineage: Eukaryota; Viridiplantae; Streptophyta; Magnoliopsida; Poales; Bromeliaceae.